RNAcentral lists this small RNA (283 nucleotides) under Prolemur simus (greater bamboo lemur). Its description in RNAcentral is "Metazoan signal recognition particle RNA (ENSPSMG00000003854.1)". The record is from RNAcentral. Lineage: Eukaryota; Metazoa; Chordata; Mammalia; Primates; Lemuridae.
GCCGGGCGUGGUGGCUCACGCCUGUAAUCCUAGCACUCUGGGAGGCUGAGGCGGGUGGAUCGCUCGAGGUCAGGAGUUCGAGACCAGCCUAAGCAAGAGCGAGACCCCGUCUCUACUAAAAAUAGAAAGAAAUUAUAUGGCCAACUAAAAAUCUAUAUAGAAAAAAUUAGCCGGGCAUAGUGGCGCAUGCCUGUAGUCCCAGCUACUCGGGAGGCUGAGGCGGGUGGAUCGCUCGAGGUCAGGAGUUCGAGACCAGCCUAAGCAAGAGCGAGACCCCGUCUCU